UUACGGGAGGCAGCAGUAGGGAAUAUUGCACAAUGGGCGCAAGCCUGAUGCAGCAACGCCGCGUGCACGAGGAAGGCCUUCGGGUCGUAAAGUGCUUUUCUGGAGGAUGAGGAAGGACAGUACUCCAGGAAUAAGUCUCGGCUAACUACGUGCCAGCAGCCGCGGUAAAACGUAGGAGACAAGCGUUAUCCGAAUUUACUGGGCGUAAAGCGCAUGCAGGUGGUUCGGUAAGUGGCGUGUGAAAUCUCCUGGCUCAACUGGGAGAGGCCGCGCCAAACUGUCGGACUAGAGGGCGGUAGAGGGAGGUGGAAUUCCCGGUGUAGUGGUGAAAUGCGUAGAUAUCGGGAGGAACACCUGUGGCGAAAGCGGCCUCCUGGACCGUACCUGACGCUCAGAUGCGAAAGCUAGGGGAGCGAACGGGAUUAGAAACCCUAGUAGUCC
This 441-nucleotide ribosomal RNA is filed under the name uncultured bacterium. Its description in RNAcentral is "bacterial SSU rRNA". It matches the Rfam family "Bacterial small subunit ribosomal RNA", at positions 339 to 796 of the family's 1533-position model. The record is from RNAcentral.